Molecule: transfer-messenger RNA, 378 nt
Filed under: Acidimicrobiales
Lineage: Bacteria; Bacillati; Actinomycetota; Acidimicrobiia
Also listed under: 2 other names
Description: JAAETH01 sp024228575 Standard tmRNA
Rfam family: transfer-messenger RNA
About the family: Bacterial tmRNA, also known as 10Sa RNA or SsrA, is named for its dual tRNA and mRNA-like properties. Its role is to liberate the mRNA from a stalled ribosome.
Source: RNAcentral
GGGGGUGAUCGGUUUCGACUUCGGCAGUUGAAGUGAGAGAAGCGAGCCGUGGUCUCCGGAGCCACGUUAAAGAGCCGGAACCAAACACAAACGCCAACGUUUCUAACGACGAACUGGCGCUCGCUGCCUGAUUCAGCUUCGGCUGAUUUAGAUAGCGGGUUGGCCGCCGGAUCCUUGCUCUGCGGAGCUGGCGUGCCCUCAUGAAGCAGGGCUUACCCGCUGUGGAUGCUGACGACGCAGCGGGAACACCAAAGUCGGCUACGGAGACAGGAGGUUGUCGAUGACCACCUGCCUCCCGACAAUCCGAUAUCGACUGCGCUCGGAGAAGACUCAUUGAUGCGUCGAAGGACGCGGGUUCGAUUCCCGCCACCUCCACCA